Molecule: ribosomal RNA, 476 nt
Filed under: uncultured Desulfobulbus sp.
Lineage: Bacteria; Pseudomonadati; Thermodesulfobacteriota; Desulfobulbia; Desulfobulbales; Desulfobulbaceae
Description: bacterial SSU rRNA
Rfam family: Bacterial small subunit ribosomal RNA
Source: RNAcentral
ACGGGACCCCGCACAAGCGGUGGAUCAUGUUGUUUAAUUCGACGAUACGCGAAGAACCUUACCUGGCCUUGACAUCCCGGGAAUUUCCUGGAAACAGGAGAGUGCUUUCAUUAGAGAGAACCUGGAGACAGGUGCUGCAUGGCUGUCGUCAGCUCGUGUCGUGAGAUGUUGGGUUAAGUCCCGCAACGAGCGCAACCCUUGCCUUUAGUUGCCAGCAGUUCGGCUGGGCACUCUAAAGGGACUGCCGGUGUCAAACCGGAGGAAGGUGGGGAUGACGUCAAGUCCUCAUGGCCUUUAUGGCCAGGGCUACACACGUACUACAAUGGCCGGUACAAAGGGCAGCGACAUUGCGAGAUGGAGCGAAUCCCGAAAAGCCGGUCUCAGUCCGGAUUGGAGUCUGCAACUCGACUCCAUGAAGUUGGAAUCGCUAGUAAUCGUGGAUCAGCAUGCCACGGUCGAAUACGUUCCCGGGCCUU